CCCUUAGAUGUUCUGGGCCGCACGCGUGCUACACUGAGUAAAUCAAUGGGUAAGGGGACACGAAAGUGCAACCUAAUCUUGAAAUUUGCUCGUGAUGGGGAUCGACGGUUGCAAUUUUCCGUCGUGAACGAGGAAUACCUUGUAGGCGCGUGUCAUCAUCACGCGCCGAAUACGUCCCUGCCCUUUGUACACACCGCCCGUCGCUCCUACCGAUUGAGUGAUCCGGUGAGGCUCUGGGACCUGGACGGAAAGAGCGUUUCGCUUGUUCUGUUUGGGAAACUUGGUCGAACCUUAUCAUUUAGAGGAAGGAGAAGUCGUAACA
RNAcentral lists this ribosomal RNA (322 nucleotides) under uncultured eukaryote. RNAcentral's name for it is "partial 18S ribosomal RNA". It matches the Rfam family "Eukaryotic small subunit ribosomal RNA", at positions 1470 to 1796 of the family's 1831-position model. The record is from RNAcentral.